UUCUGGCUCAGAUGAACGCUGGCGGCAGGCCUAACACAUGCAAGUCGAACGGUAACAGGAAGAAGCUUGCUCUUGCUGACGAGUGGCGGACGGGUGAGUAAUGUCUGGGAAACUGCCUGAUGGAGGGGGAUAACUACUGGAAACGGUAGCUAAUACCGCAUAACGUCGCAAGACCAAAGAGGGGGACCUUCGGGCCUCUUGCCAUCGGAUGUGCCCAGAUGGGAUUAGCUUGUUGGUGGGGUAACGGCUCACCAAGGCGACGAUCCCUAGCUGGUCUGAGAGGAUGACCAGCCACACUGGAACUGAGACACGGUCCAGACUCCUACGGGAGGCAGCAGUGGGGAAUAUUGCACAAUGGGCGCAAGCCUGAUGCAGCCAUGCCCGCGUGUAUGAAGAAGGCCUUCGGGUUGUAAAGUACUUUCAGCGGGGAGGAAGGGAGUAAAGUUAAUACCUUUGCUCAUUGACGUUACCCGCAGAAGAAGCACCGGCUAACUCCGUGCCAGCCGCGGC
This 510-nucleotide ribosomal RNA is filed under the name uncultured bacterium. Its description in RNAcentral is "bacterial SSU rRNA". It matches the Rfam family "Bacterial small subunit ribosomal RNA", at positions 17 to 518 of the family's 1533-position model. The record is from RNAcentral.